UGAGCAUUGUCUCGGACUUGAGAAGGGCAAGCUGAGUGUGGGGAACUGGGAACUGGGAGCGUGAAGACUGCGGUAGUGUGGCGGGGCGGGGUGAUUUAGUACCAUAGGCUGGGGAUGGAGAAGGGGCUGCUAAUGGGUGGGUGCAGCAGGUGCAGUCCGGUGUUGCGAGUGAGCACUGGUAGGGAGCUUUAGGGUCAUUUGCGUUACUUGAGCAAUUCCUCUUCUUACUCUGAGCAGGCUUCGCCAAGCCAAAGCACUUGGCGAGAGUAGUGCCUCAUUCUUCAUCCCUGGAGGUCAAUGUCUGUCCAGGCGCACACGCCCAUUACAUACAACUUUAGGAAAAGACUAGUGAUCCUACGAAAGCGAGUGUAAUUGGAAAAAAGAAAAAUCCAAAAGAUCAUAACUUUGGACACUUUGGAGCAUCUUAGACUUGCCUUUGUCUUUAUUGACUAUGCUUGUUCCUCUGCUAUAGUAGCAGCAUUUAGUGGUAGAAGGACCUCUGAGCCUAGCCCUGCCUCGCACACUCCAAGAAUACUGUGCUCGCUGCCUGAUACCAAAGACUCCUUUCACCCUGUGAUUGGCUUUUGUUCCUCCUGAGUGAUGGGGUGGGUGUGGCAGGCCGCAGUGUGUGAACUGUGUUGCCGGCAGAGUGAGGGUGGAGUCCUGGGGGCGGGUCUGUCAGGGAAACAAAGGAGUUCACAAAAGCGUGGGAUGUAUUCCACAACUGAGUGUUUAAAAGCCAGUCAGGCGCUGUCCUUCCAGUAUUUAGUUCAUCCGUUGUUAGAAAAGAAGGUUCUGAGAACCUUCGACGCCUAGAGCAUUCUUACCUUCAUUUGCAGUGACUAAGAGGUCCCAGCCUUGGUGCUGCGGAUGGAGAGGAGGGGGACACGCCUAAAAACUGCAGCGCGGUGAGCUAGCCAGAGACCACCGCAGACUCAGGCGCACUCACAUCAGCGCGUGCGCAGACGCGAUGCAUCAGCUCUCCCUUCAAACCCGCAUUUUCUAGGUAUUCGAGGAAGAAACUGAUCCCUUUGUGAGCGUAUGUGAAAUAAACCUGUGUGCUCUGAGGGAGAGAAGAAGAAGGGUGUCAGAGUAUGUUCCCUGCUAUCCCAGGUUGAAGGUCACUGCUUCCCUACGCGGGGCUAGUGGUUUAGGAGGUGAUGUGACCCCUUUUAUUCUCUAAGGAGUGAGGCCCAAGUGACUCAGGGUCACACUAUAGGGUAGAGCUCGCAGCUGUUGAGCGAGGGAGGACCUGCUAGAACCAUCUGAAGCUGUCAUCGCCUCUCCUUUCCGCAAGGGGUGUGGGGGCAGGGCGGGCUUUAAACUGAAUUCUAAUGUACCAUGAGAAGCAGCCUAGAACAAAAGCCUUGCCGCCUGUGAUUGCCAGGGUGUCCAGACUGGAUCUCUAUGGCCAGAGUUCGCCAGAUACGGUUGCAGGUGUUCAGUUCAGGGUGGAUUGAGAAGAGAGAGGCAAGAACAGUGAAGGUGUGCCCACGUGCCCAGUAACAGGGUUCCAAGGACACAGGCCCUGAAUUUUGAAUUUUCUCACCUGUCUUAAUACAGAUGUAGAAGCAUGAAGAGAGAAUACUUCCCAAGGUCACACAGCGAGUUAAUGACAGGGCUCCGACUGUCUCAAGGGCGCCCAAGCUUUCAGGAUUCUUCAACCUGGAGCACAGAGAAGCACAGAAUUGUUCACAGUGCAGCCUAGUAAACUGCAUUUCCAUAGUACAGAGUCGUCCUGGGAAGAAUACAAGAACCAGAAGUACUCAAACGGAGGCAUGCUAGAACUCAGACAGCCUGCCUGCGUAAGGUGCAGUCUGUGAAAGCCGUCAGUGUGAAAAUGGAUCCAUUUUUAAAUGUGUGCCAAAAAGUGAAAAAAGAGGAGGAGAAUUGAGAACAGGAUCCCAAAGAGUUGUCUGUUCAGACACGCAUGUUCAUGGUGGCGUAGUCCACAAGAACCAAAGGACGAAAGCACCUUGAGUGGUCAUGGAAGCAAAUUCACCAGCAGCAGAAUAGGAAAAGACUUGUCAGAAAGGGCCAGCUGCAGAGCCACGCAGCCUUACAAGCAGGGACGUGAAGAAACCGGAUUUGUUAUGGCCAACAGAGAGACACUGCAAACCCCAGAUUGUGCCUCAUGGCAAGAAAACUCACGACAGCUGCUCCGUUGUUCUCCCUGUAGCAGACAGUGAACCACGCCAGCCUGUGUGGGGAGUGGAGGAAACCCUGAGCAUGUGAAGUCCUGAGUGGAUGUGUGUAGACAUGAGCUGGCCAUGUCAAGGACCCCAGUGUCUCAGUCCCAUGGGAGUGGCAAAGUCUUACCUGGGUGACGCUCAGGGAAAUGCCAGACUUUCCCCCUGGUCCAUGUGUGGAUGUUGGCAAUGUGUGCAGAAAAUAUCUCCCAAAGCUUUGCCACCACACAGUGUUAAUUGCCUGAAGACUGCUCCCCUACAGAGACUACACCUACAGAGAUGAGCAAAACCUGCCUUCUUGAUUCAGCUGUAUAUCAUAAAUCCUGCCUCCAGAUUCAGCUAAUAUGCAAUUACCCCACCUCUGUCUUCAACUGUAUAUAACAAGCACAAUGUGUUUCUAGGUUGCUGCAGCUAGUCCAUCAAGAAAUCCAGUCCACCUGAUCCCAACUCUUCUGUCUACAUGUCUGUCAUUUCAUCAGUCUGUCUUCUUCAUUCCCUCAAUGCCCCAGUGAGACCCAAUUCUGGGAGCUAUGCAAUGAUGUAGCAAGCCUGGGAAUGAAAUGAAUACAAUUUUACCAGAGACUUUCAGAGAGAGUCUUUCUACCUUCUCUGCUACUGGUGGGAAGGAUACAUAAACUCUGCCCAUCAUCCACAGAAGUGAUGUGUCACAGUUCUAAGUCACUCUUUUGCUAUGGAAGUGUGGUAGCACAAAAGGUUGAUGGAUGGGCCCCAGUGUGGUUCUCGGUUGUCUGGAUCAAAAUGUGCCUAGAACAUGGGCUCAGGAAACUUGAGCAAUAAACUCAAGAAAGCUCUUCCCUCUUACAAUGAUGAAUGGGAAAAGUAACUUGUGUUGGAGACCCUGGCCUUUUGCCAGUGUCCAACGGGGAAGGAUAUUUAUGGAGUCCUCAACAUAGUGGGUUCCCAGGCCUCUCUAACAUUUUUGUUCCCAGAAUUCCUGCUGGGCUUCUCUACUUAGAGAGAUGUGCAUGAGUGACUUGGGCUUUCAUGGGGUCACUGUCUGUGGCUUCUAUUCCUGGGGAAGUUGAAUGAUAAAGUCAGGUGUUGUGCUUCUGACAGGAAGCCUUCUUCCCACCUAGCACUGGAGGAUUCUUUGGAUCAUCUUUUGAAAGACUCAUAUUGAAUGUCUCCAGGCUCUGGACAUGCCCCUGUUCUCACAGUUGCUUACAACUGUUCACAGGCCCUCCCCGGUUUUCAGUGUGACAGGAGUGUCCUACUGCAGCAUCUCUGUUUGCUGCUAUUUGGAUACAGUUUGAAUGUGUGCUCCAAAGGUUCAUGUGCCAAAUGCCUGAUAUUCAGGUGAGGGAAUCUUUAAGGGAUGAGGCCUGGUGUAAAUUGAGUAGUCACUGGGAGCCUGGAACACAGAAGAGAUUAAUUCUCUAGGGACCCCAGUUAAUUCCCCUGAGCACAAGUUGUAAUAUAUGAGCCUAGCCCUUGAAGCUCUCGGGUUUCCUGUGUUAUCAGCUGAUCAUAUUCCCAACAAGGUGUCACUAGCUAUGCUAUUUACUCAGAGAGUCCUCACUAGAGCUGUUCAGUUGCAGGCAGUAUAUUCUCAGACCUCCAGACUGUGAGCUAAAUAAACCUCUUCUCUGAAUAAAACGCCCAGCCAUUUUAUAGACAGAAAAUAAACCAA
Long non-coding RNA from Mus musculus (house mouse), 3840 nucleotides. RefSeq annotates it as predicted gene, 36500. The transcript has 4 exons. The record is from RefSeq and is a predicted model, not a curated record. Lineage: Eukaryota; Metazoa; Chordata; Mammalia; Rodentia; Muridae.